RNAcentral lists this ribosomal RNA (768 nucleotides) under uncultured bacterium. RNAcentral describes it as "bacterial SSU rRNA". It matches the Rfam family "Bacterial small subunit ribosomal RNA", at positions 575 to 1340 of the family's 1533-position model. The record is from RNAcentral.
GUGGUUGGUCACGUCUGCUGUGGAAACGCAACGCUUAACGUUGCGCGUGCAGUGGGUACGGGCUGACUAGAGUGCAGUAGGGGAGUCUGGAAUUCCUGGUGUAGCGGUGAAAUGCGCAGAUAUCAGGAGGAACACCGGUGGCGAAGGCGGGACUCUGGGCUGUAACUGACACUGAGGAGCGAAAGCAUGGGGAGCGAACAGGAUUAGAUACCCUGGUAGUCCAUGCCGUAAACGUUGGGCACUAGGUGUGGGGGGCAUUCCACGUUCUCCGCGCCGUAGCUAACGCAUUAAGUGCCCCGCCUGGGGAGUACGGUCGCAAGGCUAAAACUCAAAGGAAUUGACGGGGGCCCGCACAAGCGGCGGAGCAUGCGGAUUAAUUCGAUGCAACGCGAAGAACCUUACCAAGGCUUGACAUACACCAGACCGGCCUGGAAACAGGUCUUCCCCUUUGGGGUUGGUGUACAGGUGGUGCAUGGUUGUCGUCAGCCCGUGUCGUGAGAUGUUGGGUUAAGUCCCGCAACGAGCGCAACCCUCGUUCUAUGUUGCCAGCACGUGAUGGUGGGAACUCAUAGGAGACUGCCGGGGUCAACUCGGAGGAAGGUGGGGAUGACGUCAAAUCAUCAUGCCCUUUAUGUCUUGGGCUUCACGCAUGCUACAAUGGCUGGUACAAAGAGAAGCGAGCCCGUGAGGGUCAGCGAAUCCCUUAAAGCCAGUCUCAGUUCGGAUCGUAGUCUGCAAUUCGACUACGUGAAGUCGGAGUCGCUAGUA